GACAGAGGGUGCAAACGUUGUUCGGAAUUACUGGGCGUAAAGCGUGUGUAGGCGGUCUUACAAGUCAGGUGUGAAAGCCCCGGGCUCAACCCGGGAAGUGCACUUGAUACUGUUUGACUUGAGUACUGGAGAGGUUGGUGGAAUUCUCGGUGUAGAGGUGAAAUUCGUAGAUAUCGAGAGGAACACCUGUGGCGAAGGCGGCCAACUGGACAGAUACUGACGCUGAGACACGAAAGCGUGGGGAGCAAACAGG
This 253-nucleotide ribosomal RNA is filed under the name uncultured bacterium. RNAcentral's name for it is "partial 16S ribosomal RNA". It matches the Rfam family "Bacterial small subunit ribosomal RNA", at positions 524 to 776 of the family's 1533-position model. The record is from RNAcentral.